UAAAGAGUUCUAUAACUCCCAAACCCAUGUGAACAUACCUAACGUUGCCUCGGCAGGUCGCACCUACCUUGUAGCACCCUACCCUGUAGGGCCUACCCGGGAGGUGCGGGUAAGCCUGCCGGCGGCCCACCAAACUCUGUUUGAUAUUGAAUUCUGAACCUAUAACUAAAUAAGUUAAAACUUUCAACAACGGAUCUCUUGGUUCUGGCAUCGAUGAAGAACGCAGCGAAAUGCGAUAAGUAAUGUGAAUUGCAGAAUUCAGUGAAUCAUCGAAUCUUUGAACGCAUAUUGCGCCCAUUAGUAUUCUAGUGGGCAGGACCGUUCGAGCGUCAUUUCAACCCUUAAGCCUUCGUUGCUUAGUGUUGGGAGCCUACGGCAACGUAGCUCCUCAAAGUUAGUGGCGGAGUUAGUUCACACUCUAGACGUAGUAAUUUUUUAUCUCGCCUAUUAGUUGGACUAAUCCCCUGCCGUAAAACCCCCAAUUUAUCAAGGUUGACCUCGAAUCGGUUCAGACAAACUCGCUAAAUUGAAGCAUCUUAGUCAGCGAAGGAAAAGAAACCAACAGGGAUUGCCCUAGUAACGGCGAGUGAAGCGGCAA
This 598-nucleotide ribosomal RNA is filed under the name fungal endophyte. RNAcentral's name for it is "eukaryotic LSU rRNA". The stretch from base 179 to 332 matches the Rfam family "5.8S ribosomal RNA". Lineage: Eukaryota; Fungi. The record is from RNAcentral.